UACAGAGGGGGCAAGCGUUGUUCGGAAUUACUGGGCGUAAAGGGCGCGUAGGCGGCCUGUUAAGUCGAACGUGAAAUCCCCGGGCUCAACCCGGGAACUGCGUCCGAUACUGGCAGGCUUGAAUCCGGGAGAGGGAUGCGGAAUUCCAGGUGUAGCGGUGAAAUGCGUAGAUAUCUGGAGGAACACCGGUGGCGAAGGCGGCAUCCUGGACCGGCAUUGACGCUGAGGCGCGAAAGCCCAGGGG
RNAcentral lists this ribosomal RNA (244 nucleotides) under uncultured bacterium. RNAcentral describes it as "partial 16S ribosomal RNA". It matches the Rfam family "Bacterial small subunit ribosomal RNA", at positions 524 to 767 of the family's 1533-position model. The record is from RNAcentral.